Molecule: ribosomal RNA, 397 nt
Filed under: uncultured bacterium
Lineage: Bacteria
Description: partial 16S ribosomal RNA
Rfam family: Bacterial small subunit ribosomal RNA
Source: RNAcentral
AUACGUAGGGGGCAAGCGUUGUCCGGAAUGAUUGGGCGUAAAGGGCGCGUAGGCGGCCCGGUAAGUCUGAAGUGAAAGUCCUGGUUUUAAGCUGGGAAUUGCUUUGGAUACUGUCGGGCUUGAGUGCAGGAGAGGUAAGUGGAAUUCCCAGUGUAGCGGUGAAAUGCGUAGAGAUUGGGAGGAACACCAGUGGCGAAGGCGACUUACUGGACUGUAACUGACGCUGAGGCGCGAAAGUGUGGGGAGCAAACAGGAUUAGAUACCCUGGUAGUCCACACUGUAAACGAUGAAUGCUAGGUGUAGGGGGUAUCGACCCCUUCUGUGCCGCAGUAAACACAAUAAGCAUUCCGCCUGGGGAGUACGGCCGCAAGGUUGAAACUCAAAUGAAUUGACGGGG